UGUAUGAUAUCGACAAAAAGGAGAAGCAUCAAGCUAUUUAAGCCAUUAGACGAUUGAAAGAAAGUCAUGUAUGUAAAACUUUUCCGUUAAAUCACAAAGUAAAAUUUGUACUUUUGUACGUCACUUUAAACAUUGUGACAGGCUAUCAAUGCCAAAAACACAUUAAUGCUUCUCCUUUUUGUCGAUAUCAUACAGCACACAAACAUCAGCUGCUGUCUUCAUCUGAAUGACAUUUACGGUUUGCUUGAUUGCCCAUCCAAACAAACUUAAGCCAAGUAGGAAAGAGAUAAGUGAGCACUCUUUAAUAGAUUCUAUAGAGACAUCCAUCAAAUUUUCAUUCUCUUUUUUCGCAAUGAGAAAUAAUAUUAUAUACAGAACCUCACAUGCUGCACAGCAAUAAGCCAUGAACAUCCGGUUUCCAUAGUAAGCCUUGAAAAGCCAAUUAGAGCUGUCUUUCACAUCUUUAUGGCUAGAUUUGCCUAACAAGAAUGUGCUGUACAUCUGCAGCC
Molecule: unclassified non-coding RNA, 509 nt
Filed under: Hevea brasiliensis (rubber tree)
Lineage: Eukaryota; Viridiplantae; Streptophyta; Magnoliopsida; Malpighiales; Euphorbiaceae
Source: RNAcentral